AUACACCUUCUUUUCAAAUCGCGGCAGACGUACCGACGAAAAGCACACGCCGCAAGUCAUCGGUCGUGUUCGGUCAAACAUAUAUAUAUAAUACAUAAAUAUGUUUUUUUUUUAAUUCCUUGACCGGCCGUUCAGUGUCGUCCCUGUUUGCCACCGUGUGUGUGUGUGUGUGUAUUUUUCCCGGGCUUUUACCUGGCCAUUAUAAAUACGGGGUGCACGCGGGCAACAUCAUUCAGUCUACUACCGGCUUUUCACCGAACGACAUCUAUUUAGCCUUCGUGUAUUAAAUAUAUAUUUUAAAAAUAAAUUCAGUUCGCCGCCAAAGUGUGUUCACGUUUUCGAAACAAUUUUACCGAUUUGAAAUUUAUUUUUGAAAUUUGAUUUAACCUUCCGAACGCAAUCAUCAACGAUGGGUUUGGAUCCGACCGGUUUAUACUGAAACACCCGCGCUUCAAAAUCGCCAAUAAUUUUUUUAUUGACAAAAAAAUAAAUAAACUCAAAUUUAUUUUUCUCAACACGCCGACAGCCAAUACAAUCAACAUGUGCGGAGGAGGACCGAAACUGGACCCAACCGGCCUUUACUGAACAUGCAGUAGAAACCCAUCGAUACCCGUCACCGUAAUGUUCAAAUCAGGUUUACAAAAAAACAUGUAUCCCGAAAUGGCGGUGCCGAAAGCUAGUACCUUCCAUCACGGCACUCUUAGGCAUCCGUAUUGGCCUCAAACAACAGUCCGUUGGAGGCUAUCGCUCAACAAUGUUAUUUAAAGAGACAAAAUAUUCACAGUUCAGAUUUAUAUCUCUGGCUCAAGGAGGACAAAUCGCGACAGAGUUUUUUUUUUAACUAUUUAAACACUCAAAAAAAAAAAAAAUAGUUAUAUUGUUAAUUUUUUUUGUUUUUUUUUUUAAGAUUUACAUUUCCUCCUCACUUAUUAUUAUUAUUAUUAUUAUUAUUAUCAUUUUUAUUGUCAUCGUGGGAUUACAUGUAGUUUCAUCGGGAAUAUGGACAUCUGUAAUGAUUAGCUGAUCAUAGUCCCCAUGAAAUAGGGUUUCUGUAUGUAAUAAAAAAAAAUAUAUACCUAUCAAUGUUUUUCUAAGAAUUCGUUUCGACACUAAGUACAUCGAAUACUACAAAGAUUUAAAAUACAGUUAUCUUAUGUAUUGUUAACUAUGUGGACAAUAACUUUAAAUUAACUUAAAAUCUUAUGUUAUUUUUUUUUAUUUAAUGGUAAUAAUUAUUUAUUAUUAUUUUAUUUUUAUUUUUAUUGCUGUAAUUGAAAUUUUGUAUGUGUCAAUAAGAAUAACAAAGAAAAGUAGAACACUUUAAAAGCGAGUGUAAUGAAUGUAGGUUUAAAAAAGACUGACUUAUCUGAACUACAAUUUUAUCAAAUAUUUGUUCUUCAAUUCUAAUAUUGUAUGGUCUCAGGAAAAUAUGUUUUUUUCUAUUUUUAUCAUUUUCUUCUCCGUAUAUUUAUUUAUUUUGUACAUAAAAAUGAAAUAAAAGUUUUAAAAUAA
Molecule: long non-coding RNA, 1512 nt
Organism: Adelges cooleyi (spruce gall adelgid)
Lineage: Eukaryota; Metazoa; Arthropoda; Insecta; Hemiptera; Adelgidae
Exons: 2
Source: RefSeq, a predicted model, not a curated record